RNAcentral lists this ribosomal RNA (703 nucleotides) under Bacillus subtilis. RNAcentral describes it as "bacterial SSU rRNA". It matches the Rfam family "Bacterial small subunit ribosomal RNA", at positions 1 to 687 of the family's 1533-position model. Lineage: Bacteria; Bacillati; Bacillota; Bacilli; Caryophanales; Bacillaceae. The record is from RNAcentral.
GUAGAGUUUGAUUCUUUGUUCAUGAACCAACGCUGACCGUGUGCGUGAUACAUGCAAGUCGAGCGGACAGAUGGGAGCUUGCUCGGUGAUGUUAGCGGCGGACGGGUGAGUAACACGUGGGUAACGUGCCUGUAAGACUGGGAUAACUCCGGGAAACCGGGGGUAAUACCGGAUGGUUGUCUGAACCGCAUGGUUCAGACAUAAAAGGUGGCUUCGGCUACCACUUACAGAUGGACCCGCGGCGCAUUAGCUAGUUGGUGAGGUAACGGCUCACCAAGGCAACGAUUCGUAGCCGACCUGAGAGGGUGAUCGGCCACACUGGGAAUGAGACACGGCCCAGACUCCUACGGGAGGCAGCAGUAGGGAAUCUUUCGCAAUGGACGAAAGUCUGACGGAGCAACGCCGCGUGAGUGAGGAAGGUUUUCGGAUCGUAAAGCUCUGUUGUUAGGGAAGAACAAGAAAAAAAAAAAAUAGGGCGGCACCUUGACGGUACCUAACCAGAAAGCCACGGCUAACUACGUGCCAGCAGCCGCGGUAAUACGUAGGUGGCAAGCGUUGUCCGGAAUUAUUGGGCGUAAAGGGCUCGCAGGCGGUUUCUUAAGUCUGAUGUGAAAGCCCCCGGCUCAACCGGGGAGGGUCAUUGGAAACUGGGGAACUUGAGUGCAGAAGAGGAGAGUGGAAUUCCCCGUGUCAGCCGCGUUUG